CACGCGUCUGUACUAUGUGGUGUUGUCCUUUCUUCCAAUUUCCAAAACACACUUAAUGAAGAUGGACCGAUGGAGUGCCGUUUUAUUCUCCAAAAUAUUCAUUUUCAAGAUACUGACUUUCUCUCUUCACUUUUUUUUACCCUCCAGUUUUUCACAGUCAAUUGAUUAACAAUGGCAUUUUUUCACAGUUCCAUCACCUACUAUUAUAGUACCACCAAAGUUCCUUUUAACUUUAUCAUUCUUUGAUUUUUUUCUCUUCUGUUUCUAUCAAUUAUUUACCCAUUAAUUCCUUUUUUCCAGAUUCAAUUUUUCGAUAUGUUCUAAAUAGACAACAACAUUGUGAAACUUCGGGCUUUACAAGAUGCUAUUACAGCUUAUGCAACCGCCAAAGAAGAGGGAGUUGCUCCAGUUACAAUCAUCCGCAAGAACUAAGAUCAAACACAAAGGAUGGGGAGGAAACAAGUUGGCGGAUACUCUAGUGAAAUCAGCAAAAGAAAAAAAUCUAGAAGCCAACAAAUUUUGCAUUUCAUAUGACCCUCCCCCCAAAUUGUAUUAAUGUUUACUUAAUGGACAAGCAAAACUAUGGAAUCUAUGGAUCGGAAACAAUGGAAAUAAUGAACUCACGGGUGCUUUGGGA
Molecule: RNA transcript, 637 nt
Organism: Beta vulgaris subsp. vulgaris (sugar beet)
Lineage: Eukaryota; Viridiplantae; Streptophyta; Magnoliopsida; Caryophyllales; Amaranthaceae
Exons: 3
Source: RefSeq, a predicted model, not a curated record